UGGGGAAUUUUGGACAAUGGGCGCAAGCCUGAUCCAGCAAUGCCGCGUGCAGGAUGAAGGCCUUCGGGUUGUAAACUGCUUUUGUACGGGGCGAAAAGGUCUGCCCUAAUACGGUGGGCUCAUGACGGUACCGUAAGAAUAAGCGCCGGCUAACUACGUGCCAGCAGCCGCGGUAAUACGUAGGGUGCGAGCGUUAAUCGGAAUUACUGGGCGUAAAGCGUGUGCAGGCGGUUAUAUAAGACAGAUGUGAAAUCCCCGGGCUCAACCUGGGACCUGCAUUUGUGACUGUAUAGCUAGAGUACGGUAGAGGGGGAUGGAAUUCCGCGUGUAGCAGUGAAAUGCGUAGAUAUGCGGAGGAACACCGAUGGCGAAGGCAGCUUACUAUGGUUUUAUUGACGCUGAGGCACGAAAGCGUGGGGAGCAAACA
Molecule: ribosomal RNA, 427 nt
Filed under: uncultured bacterium
Lineage: Bacteria
Description: bacterial SSU rRNA
Rfam family: Bacterial small subunit ribosomal RNA
Source: RNAcentral